GAUGAACGCUGGCGGCGUGCCUAACACAUGCAAGUCGAGCGAACAGACGAGGAGCUCUCUCCCCUGCCGUUAGCGACGGACGGGUGAGUAACACGUGGAUCACCUACAUAUUAGUCUUGGAUAAUUACGGGAAACCGGAUACAACAACGGCUCAUAUAUACAACCGGAUGGUUCAAUAGAGAUAGAGGGCUUUGCUGAUACUAAUACAUGGAUCCGCGCCGGAUUAGCUAGUUGGUAAGGUAACGGCUUACCAAGGCAACGAUGCGUAGCCGACCUGAGAGGGUGAUCGGCCACACUGGAACUGAGACACGGUCCAGACUCCUACGGGAGGCAGCAGUAGGGAAUCUUCCGCAAUGGGCGAAAGCUUGACGGAGCAACGCCGCGUGAGUGAUGAAGGUCUUCGGAUCGUAAAACUCUGUUAUUAGGGAAGAACAAAUGUGUAAGUAACUAUGCACGUCUUGACGGUACCUAAUCAGAAAGCCACGGCUAACUACGUG
This 497-nucleotide ribosomal RNA is filed under the name uncultured bacterium. Its description in RNAcentral is "partial 16S ribosomal RNA". It matches the Rfam family "Bacterial small subunit ribosomal RNA", at positions 28 to 507 of the family's 1533-position model. The record is from RNAcentral.